This 332-nucleotide long non-coding RNA is filed under the name Physcomitrium patens. RNAcentral describes it as "long non-coding RNA (PPAT_LNC007839)". Lineage: Eukaryota; Viridiplantae; Streptophyta; Bryopsida; Funariales; Funariaceae. The record is from RNAcentral.
UACUUAAAUCUUAAGUCAAAUCUUAAUUAAAUCCUAAAUUAGAAUUUGAUUAAGAUUUGAUUUAGGAUUUUAACUAUAAGUAAAGUAAAUUUUGGUUGAAAUUUAUUUAUGAUAUAUUUUAGAUUUUAUUUUAAUACAUCUUUUAAAUUUCUUUAGAAUUUUUUCAUACUUCUAUCAUAAUUUCUUUGAAGUUUCUUUGGAUUGAUUAAAGCUUGAUUAGUAUAUUUAAGAUUUAUUUAGAAUUAUUUAGGAUUCUAUAAGAAUUAAAAUCUUAUUGAUGUAAUAUUUCUUCUACCUUUUAUAGCCAAGUACUCAAUGCAUUCUCAAGCAAG